Molecule: ribosomal RNA, 482 nt
Filed under: uncultured bacterium
Lineage: Bacteria
Description: bacterial SSU rRNA
Rfam family: Bacterial small subunit ribosomal RNA
Source: RNAcentral
UGAACGCUGGCGGCAUGCCUAACACAUGCAAGUCGAACGGUAACGCGAGGAGCUUGCUCCUUGGCGACGAGUGGCGGACGGGUGAGUAAUACUUAGGAAUCUGCCCAUUAGUGGGGGACAACUCGAGGAAACUCGAGCUAAUACCGCAUACGCCCUACGGGGGAAAGCGGGGGUCUUCGGACCUCGCGCUAAUGGAUGAGCCUAAGUCGGAUUAGCUUGUUGGUGAGGUAAUGGCUCACCAAGGCGACGAUCCGUAGCUGGUCUGAGAGGACGAUCAGCCACACUGGGACUGAGACACGGCCCAGACUCCUACGGGAGGCAGCAGUGGGGAAUAUUGGACAAUGGGCGCAAGCCUGAUCCAGCAAUGCCGCGUGUGUGAAGAAGGCCUGCGGGUUGUAAAGCACUUUCAGUAGAGAAGAAAAGCCUAGGGUUAAUACCCCUGAGUCUUGACGUAACCUACAGAAGAAGCACCGGCUAACUCC